RNAcentral lists this transfer RNA (73 nucleotides) under Sphaerodactylus townsendi. RNAcentral's name for it is "tRNA-Ala". It matches the Rfam family "tRNA". Rfam says of the family: Transfer RNA (tRNA) molecules are approximately 80 nucleotides in length. Their secondary structure includes four short double-helical elements and three loops (D, anti-codon, and T loops). The record is from RNAcentral. Lineage: Eukaryota; Metazoa; Chordata; Lepidosauria; Squamata; Sphaerodactylidae.
GGAGGCUAUGCCUCAGUGAUAGAUCAUCUGCUUGGCUCGCAGAAGGUCCCAGGUUCAAUUCCUGGCAUCUCCA